Molecule: transfer RNA, 87 nt
Filed under: Dothistroma septosporum NZE10
Lineage: Eukaryota; Fungi; Ascomycota; Dothideomycetes; Mycosphaerellales; Mycosphaerellaceae
Description: tRNA-Lys for anticodon CUU
Source: RNAcentral
GCCGGGGUAGCUCAAUCGGUAGAGCGUGUGGCUCUUAGUCUGCCAGACGAGAUCACCUCAAGGGUGUGUUCUAUCACAUCUGCGCUU